Long non-coding RNA from Strongylocentrotus purpuratus (purple sea urchin), 529 nucleotides. RefSeq lists it as uncharacterized. The transcript has 4 exons. The record is from RefSeq and is a predicted model, not a curated record. Lineage: Eukaryota; Metazoa; Echinodermata; Echinoidea; Camarodonta; Strongylocentrotidae.
UGUUCUGACCCAUGUCCAGCUAACACCUAUGGCUCAAGGUGCCUCUUGGAGUGUCAGUGUGAGAACGGGGGUAGAUGUGACUCUGUAACAGGUGCAUGCUCUUGCCCCCCUGGAUAUCGACUGCCUCUGUGCCAUGAUUAUUGUCCCGAGGGUACAUAUGGACCAAACUGUGCCAGCCAAUGUCAAUGUCAGAACAAUGGUGUCUGCAACCCAGCUACAGGCAAAUGUACAUGUAAACCAGGAUGGAAGGGCGGGGUGUGUGCUGUGCCUUGUCGCUGGGGCCGGUAUGGCCGGGAAUGCUUGAGCCGUUGUGCAUGCUUCCAUGGUGCCUCCUGUAACCCUGUCAAUGGCACGUGUCAAUGCCCUGUGGGAUUCCAAGGAGACCAAUGUGAACUGCAGUGCCUGUCAGGAACCUAUGGAGUCAACUGCAAUCUGCAGUGCCAGUGCCAGAACGACGGACGCUGUUCUUCGGUCGAUGGCAGCUGCAGUUGUCAAGAGGGCUUCAUUGGAAAGUACUGUGGAGAGAGUG